RNAcentral lists this long non-coding RNA (962 nucleotides) under Citrus x clementina. Its description in RNAcentral is "Citrus clementina (C. clementina) long non-coding RNA (CCLE_LNC003903)". Lineage: Eukaryota; Viridiplantae; Streptophyta; Magnoliopsida; Sapindales; Rutaceae. The record is from RNAcentral.
GUAAACAAUUUAUUCAAAUUUCCAUUUCUUAUUUCUGAUUCUCAUUUCACUCAUAACAAAAUUGAAUAUACUUUUCUCUUACAAUCUUGGUCUAAUUGUCCUUUACCCUUCCCCACAAAUAAAUUUUAUGGGUAUAAAUCUUAUAGUUUCAAUUGUUGAUGUAAAUAAACAUAUUAAUAUUUUGGUCUAUUAUUUUAAGUUUGCAAAAAAUUAAUUUGAAAAGAAAAGGUAGGAAAUAAUAGCUGGAGAAAAAUGGAAGACAAGAUGAUGAGAAAAGUAAGUUUAGUUACAACAAAAACAUGCGGGAUUACAACAAGCAGUUGGCUGAUGUAAUCAAAGCUGCUGAGGAAAAUGAAUCUGCAAACCCAAGUCCGAAGUGAACGAUGAGGAAGAUGAUGUCAAGAGAAUAGCCGUGAAGGGUUCAAAAGUUGAGUUUGCGUUAAAAUCCAUAAUGUAAUACGUGGCUGUGUCAAAGAGUUUGAACAGAGCGAGGAAAUUGGUAAAGGAGUCUAAUUACAUGUAUGCCCUUAAAUUUAAUCGUAGACUCCUAACUUUAAGCGCACCAAUGCGUGCGGAGCUCAGAAAAAUAGCAUGGCCAAUGAAACUUUAACACGUAUGGGGGGAAUCAGAUUUUUGCAAUUAUAUUACGAUUGGGUGUUGAAAGGAUACUUACGGGUAGAGUUGGUAAAAUGAGUCAUCGGAUCGUGUUCGUGUCGUGUUAAAUUUAGGUCAAUUUAAAUCUGACCCAUUUAAUAAUCGUGUCAAAAUAUUGAGACCCAAACCCGACACGAAAAAAUAAUCGGGUUAUCCAAUAACCUGUUUAAUAUCUAUAUAUUGAAUAAAAGUUACAUCAAAUAUUUACACACUAUCAUACAUACAUAUGUACAUACAUACAUAUAUAAUUUAUCGAUAUUAUAAAAUAUAUAUAUCGACCAAUAUAUUACACAUUUACACUAUUGAGG